GUGCUCCAUUCGGUAGCACAUGUACUAAAAUUGGAACGAUACAGAGAAGAUUAGCAUGGCCCCUGUACAAGGAUGACAGGCAAAUUUGUGAAGCAUUCCAUAUUUUU
RNAcentral lists this small nuclear RNA (107 nucleotides) under Neotoma lepida (desert woodrat). Lineage: Eukaryota; Metazoa; Chordata; Mammalia; Rodentia; Cricetidae. The record is from RNAcentral.